AAGGAGGUGGCAGAGUGGUUAUGCGGCUGGCUUGAAACCAGUAUAUGGGGGUUCAAUUCCUCCCUUCCUCG
RNAcentral lists this transfer RNA (71 nucleotides) under Lepidocephalichthys hasselti. Its description in RNAcentral is "tRNA-Ser". It matches the Rfam family "tRNA". Rfam says of the family: Transfer RNA (tRNA) molecules are approximately 80 nucleotides in length. Their secondary structure includes four short double-helical elements and three loops (D, anti-codon, and T loops). Further hydrogen bonds mediate the characteristic L-shaped molecular structure. tRNAs have two regions of fundamental functional importance: the anti-codon, which is responsible for specific mRNA codon recognition, and the 3' end, to which the tRNAs corresponding amino acid is attached (by aminoacyl-tRNA synthetases). tRNAs cope with the degeneracy of the genetic code in two manners: having more than one tRNA (with a specific anti-codon) for a particular amino acid; and 'wobble' base-pairing, i.e. permitting non-standard base-pairing at the 3rd anti-codon position. Lineage: Eukaryota; Metazoa; Chordata; Actinopteri; Cypriniformes; Cobitidae. The record is from RNAcentral.